AAAUUGAAGAGUUUGAUCAUGGCUCAGAUUGAACGCUGGCGGCAGGCCUAACACAUGCAAGUCGAACGGUAACAGGAAGCAGCUUGCUGCUUCGCUGACGAGUGGCGGACGGGUGAGUAAUGUCUGGGAAACUGCCUGAUGGAGGGGGAUAACUACUGGAAACGGUGGCUAAUACCGCAUAACGUCGCAAGACCAAAGAGGGGGACCUUCGGGCCUCUUGCCAUCAGAUGUGCCCAGAUGGGAUUAGCUAGUUGGUGAGGUAACGGCUCACCAAGGCGACGAUCCCUAGCUGGUCUGAGAGGAUGACCAGCCACACUGGAACUGAGACACGGUCCAGACUCCUACGGGAGGCAGCAGUGGGGAAUAUUGCACAAUGGGCGCAAGCCUGAUGCAGCCAUGCCGCGUGUAUGAAGAAGGCCUUCGGGUUGUAAAGUACUUUCAGCGGGGAG
RNAcentral lists this ribosomal RNA (449 nucleotides) under Salmonella enterica. RNAcentral's name for it is "bacterial SSU rRNA". It matches the Rfam family "Bacterial small subunit ribosomal RNA", at positions 1 to 446 of the family's 1533-position model. RNAcentral also lists the same sequence under 2 other names. Lineage: Bacteria; Pseudomonadati; Pseudomonadota; Gammaproteobacteria; Enterobacterales; Enterobacteriaceae. The record is from RNAcentral.